UAAGCAUUAGCAUUCCUUUCACCACUAAGAAUAUUAAACACCAAAGAGAUAAUUAAACUCUUUGUCAGUUACCAGAACAUCUAGUCUGGAACCUGCUCCACCAAUUCACUAGCUAUAGUUAUCCAGACAGGAGCUUAGCAGGACUGUCCUCUGAGAAGCUCCAGUCAACACCUUACUGAAACAGAUGCCGUGCUCCACAACCAGACAUCUGAUGGAGCUGGAGAAGUCUUGUAGAAGAACUGGAAGGACUGAGGGACCCCACAAGGAUAGGAACGCCACAGGAAGAUCAAGAGCCAACUAGGCUGGACCUCUGGAGCAGGGCCUAUACCUCAACCUGUUGCCUGCUUAUGGAUCCUGUUCCCCUAAUUGGGCUGCUUUGUCUGGCCUCAGUGAGAGAGGAUGCACCUAGCCCUGAAGUGGCUUGAUGUGCCAGGAUAGGGGGUAAUGUGGGGAGGGCUCCCCCUUCUCAGAAGAGGGGAUGGGAGGAACAGCUGUGAGAGAAGGGCACUGGAAGGAGGGGCUGAUAGCAGGAUUAAAGUGAAUAAGUAAACAAAAAAAAAAAGCUGUGAGAUAGUUGAGUGGGUAAAGACACCUGAUGCCAUGCCUGUCAACCUGAAUGCCUGAAGCUCCUAGGACCCAUGUCAUCAUGUUACAAGAGAAAUACUGUAACAAGAUAUCCUCUGACCUUUACAAAUGGGCCCUGGCACAAAUGGUUCCUAUCCCUACCCCAAAUAAAUAAAAUGUUAAAAAAAGAAAAAAAAAAAGGUAUGGUAAGAAAUUUCUGUUCAUUUGAAUUAUUGAAUAUUUUAAAAACCAACAAAGUUUAUUUAAUUUGUAGCGCUAGGAUUGAACCCAAGACUUUGCAUAUGCUAAACAAAUGGUCUGCUACUGAGCAACUCAAUGAAAGUUUUUAUUUAUAUUAUUCAUUAAACAGUUUUAAAAGCUU
Molecule: long non-coding RNA, 946 nt
Organism: Grammomys surdaster
Lineage: Eukaryota; Metazoa; Chordata; Mammalia; Rodentia; Muridae
Exons: 2
Source: RefSeq, a predicted model, not a curated record